GUCGAGCGGAGAGAGGUAGCUUGCUACCGAUCUUAGCGGCGGACGGGUGAGUAAUGCUUAGGAAUCUGCCUAUUAGUGGGGGACAACAUUUCGAAAGGAAUGCUAAUACCGCAUACGUCCUACGGGAGAAAGCAGGGGAUCUUCGGACCUUGCGCUAAUAGAUGAGCCUAAGUCGGAUUAGCUAGUUGGUGGGGUAAAGGCCUACCAAGGCGACGAUCUGUAGCGGGUCUGAGAGGAUGAUCCGCCACACUGGGACUGAGACACGGCCCAGACUCCUACGGGAGGCAGCAGUGGGGAAUAUUGGACAAUGGGCGGAAGCCUGAUCCAGCCAUGCCGCGUGUGUGAAGAAGGCCUUAUGGUUGUAAAGCACUUUAAGCGAGGAGGAGGCUACUUUAGUUAAUACCUAGAGAUAGUGGACGUUACUCGCAGAAUAAGCACCGGCUAACUCUGUGCCAGCAGCCGCGGUAAUACAGAGGGUGCAAGCGUUAAUCGGAUUUACUGGGCGUAAAGCGCGCGUAGGCGGCUAAUUAAGUCAAAUGUGAAAUCCCCGAGCUUAACUUGGGAAUUGCAUUCGAUACUGGUUAGCUAGAGUGUGGGAGAGGAUGGUAGAAUUCCAGGUGUA
Molecule: ribosomal RNA, 622 nt
Filed under: Acinetobacter calcoaceticus
Lineage: Bacteria; Pseudomonadati; Pseudomonadota; Gammaproteobacteria; Moraxellales; Moraxellaceae
Description: bacterial SSU rRNA
Rfam family: Bacterial small subunit ribosomal RNA
Source: RNAcentral